UCGACAUCCGUGUUAUCAGGCUUUUCAUCCUUCUCCGAUUCACCAUUCUUUUCUCGUUCUUUUUGUGCAAGAUAGGCUCUGGUCUGCCCACUAGCUAUAAUUUUACCAAUAUCUUCAGCUGGAUCUUCUUCUUCAACGUUAUUAGUUGAAGUCAAGGCUUUGACGGGAUCUUUCGCGGUAUCUUGCUCAUCGCGAACUACUUGAGCAAUUUCACUGCAUUUUACCUGCUCCGCAAAGAGCUCUGUAAUGUCCUCUUUACUCACAUACUGUCCAGAGCUCUUCAAUGUUGGUAGUGACUCUCUAAGUAAGUUUUGCAAAUGUUGGGUCAUAUAUCUACCACCCAAAGGCAGCUGCUGCGUAGCAGUAAAUAUAAUUUGCCCAUCCAAAAUUGGUGUAAUGUCUGUUUUCUCAUAACCAAUAUCAAUCACAAGUCCAUGUAAAAUUCCAAUAGCGUAUAGACCCAUCAAAGG
Non-coding RNA from Schizosaccharomyces pombe (fission yeast), 470 nucleotides. The record is from the annotation of a GenBank genome assembly. NCBI's taxonomy places the organism in Eukaryota, Fungi, Ascomycota, Schizosaccharomycetes, Schizosaccharomycetales, Schizosaccharomycetaceae.